Molecule: long non-coding RNA, 1106 nt
Organism: Ictalurus punctatus (channel catfish)
Lineage: Eukaryota; Metazoa; Chordata; Actinopteri; Siluriformes; Ictaluridae
Source: Ensembl
GUGUCGGGAUGGAUGUAGAGUGUGUCGGGAUGGAUGUAGAGUGUGUCGGGAUGCUUAGAACAGUGCCAAUCAGUCACUAUAUGGCACUGCUCACAUGUUACAUGCUGUUUCUGUAACAGGAUUUACCCUCUACUUUUAUAUUUAAUAGUGACUGUUAUUGUUUCAGUGUACAAAGUGUGGAAUGGAUGCAAACACUAAUCGUCUGGAGUCAGGUGCUACCUCUGGAGAUGUUACCCAGUGCACCCAACAUUCACAACACAAAUCUGCUUCCCACAUCGAGGUGACAGAAAGUGUAAUAGAGGUGGACAGUAAUCGUUUGGAGUCAGAUGGUGCCUCUGGAGAUGAUCAUCAUUGCACUCAACAUUCACAGGAUGAGUCUACAUUCUGCAAUCUGGUGACAGAAAGUGGAAUAGAGGUGGACAGUAAUCGUUUGGAGUCAGAUGGUGCCUCUAGAGAUGAUCAUCAUUGCACCCAACAUUCACAGCAUGAGUCUUCAUUCUGUAAUCUGCAAGUGCCAGAUGAAACAUUUUCUGAUGACCAGUAUUGUAUACCGCACUCACAAGUGGAAACAAGCACUCCUCAGGUUGGAUAAAUUGUCACUUUUCUGAAUAUAAAAAGUGGACCUUUUUAAUUAGUACUUAAUUCAGUGAAACACCAGAUAUGAUUGGUGUCUACUCCAGUGAAAAGCCUGUGAUGUGGGCGGCUCCAAACUAGGUUUUAUCUAUUGAUGGCGCAAGUAUGGUAUAUGGGAGAUGGAAGGUUAGCUAGGCCUUUCUAUAAUCCCUAAUGGCUUGGUACAUGUAGAUAACAUCUUAACUUGUAUAAUUGUAUCCACAACCAUCUAGCAACACCAUAGUGACCACAUUUUAAGCUCCACAAUCACUGUAUUCUUCAGAAAAUGCACAACCUGUAGUUCUUAAUAAUAAUAAUAAUUUAUUAUUAUUAUGAGGUGUCCUUAAUCAUUGAGGAUGCAUUCAAAAAGACUGCACUUGUUCUGUGUUUAAGUAGAUAUUGAGCCAGAACUGAAACCAUCUACAGAGCAAGCCCAGAAAACCUCAUCUGAGCAAGCAACAGAACCAACCAGUACCACAUCUGUUCCCAAAGGU